AAAUCGCACACCUACACACAGAUACAUAAAAAUUGCACACACCUUCCUCGAAACCAUGAUUCACACCCUCAAAUCUCACCAAAAACUACAGGUUUUAUGAGUGGUUCACAUUUUUUGGCGACAUACUCAUCGGAAUCACAUCGAAGUUGUCAGCAGCAUGUUCAAACUUGGCAAAAUCCUUGCCAAAUUUCACGAUCUCACAUUUUUUUUGCUCAAUUUCUACUAUUUUUUUAGGUUUUAUUGCAUAUUGGGGCGUUUUCAUCAUUAAAAUCAAGCCGGGGUUCAUUUGUUUUGGGCUUUUUUGGUCACCAUUAGCUCACCGGAGCUCGGUCUGUAUCAGGUUUCUGUUUUCCUGUUGGUUUGUUGGGAUUUUGGAAAUUUAUUUAUGCGUUAGAAGUUUAUAUUCACAGGUCUCGGAGCUUCUUGGCUAUUAUUCUAAUAUCGAGUUCGGAGCUUAUUCAUCGUUGAGGUGCUAUCGAGGAUUACAAACUCAAUUUUCUUAACUCAUAUUAUCAACGAAAUUCGAUAUCGGAAGGUCCAUUUCUUGACCCGCUCUCUUUUUAUUUAUCUUAGUGUGUCAAAUUGGUUGUGAUUAUGUGUGAUGUUAUUAUGUUUGUUGGCUUUAUUGUUGAUGUUGAUCAUGACGUUUGUUGAUUCGGCUAUGGUAGUUUGAGGAAAGAAUUCGACCAUGUGUUGAUUGUUGAUUGAUAAAAACGAAGCUAGCGGGUGUGGAAUUGAGAAUUUGAUAAAAGGGGCUGAAUUAGAUUAACGUGGGUUUAUUAUUUUUUUUUUUAAUCUAGAAUAAGCAUAAAUAUUGUGUGAACGUGAAAGAGUUAUGACAUGUGGAAACGGAUAGGCAAUGUAAGUUCGGGUAGGCAAAAUUUAGGAUUUAGUUUUUUGUUGAAUGUUUGAAUAUGGAAUGUUUAUUGAAUAUUUUCUAAGUUUGUUAUACUUGAUUCAAUUGUAUCAUUUGGCCGGGGAAUGCCCCGAUGUAUUUGUAUUAGUUUUUUUGGAGAAUGCCCUGAAGUAUUUUGUACUCGGUGGACGUCCGUGAUGAAAGUCCAAGGCAUCGGGUAGCAUAUGAGAAUAGUUAGGAUUAUGGUAGGUUAGAAUAGGAUAUAUACUUUCCUAUUUCUUUUUUACUUUGGUCUGUAUAAUUGGACUGAAAAUUAUUUUGGGGAUUUGUUUGGGUAUGUUUGUUUGAUUGAUAGACUUAUAUGUUUUGUGUAGUUUAUACACUCGUUGAUGUCAAGUUAGCCGAUACUCCCUACCAAGCGACCGUGGUCAAACCACAAGAUCGAGGGGUGCCUAACACCUUCCCCUCGGUCAAUAGAAUUCCUUAGCCGGAAUCUCUGUUUGCAAACCAGUUUCAAGAGUCAAAAUGUUUUGAAAAGGAUUUUCCAAAGGUGACUUGGCACACCGGAUUAUGUCAAGUGGUGACUCUGAAUAAAAAAUGUAAAUAGUCCUUUUUAAAACAAAUUUUCAUCCUUUUGUCACUUUAAUAAUAAAAACCCUUUUGAACUUAAAAUGAAUCUUUUGGAGUACGAAAAAGGGGUAUGACAACUCUGGCAACUCUGCUGGGGGCUUUUUAGAAUUUGAGCUUAUUUUGAAGUUGUAUCGGCUUUGUUUGGCAUUAUGAGUGUAUAAGCAUUGUUUGUGGUUAUUGUUUGUGUUAUUGUUAUCAUUUUUGUGCCUACGUGCUCUUUGUUUACAGUUUUUAUUUCAUGUUUUACUGCUUUAUAUUUGAUGUCAUGUGUAUAACCCGAGUCAUUCUUUCUCUAACAAUUCCGUAGUACACGUGUGUAUACGACCUAUAGUUGAGUCACACUUAUUUUAGGAUGAGGGAGCCGUUGGGUUGUAUGGAGUAGGUGGAAAGUUGUCGCAGCCACAAUCAACUAUAUGCUCCCCCGAACAGCCUUGUUAGUAAACCCCAGUGUAGGUCAGCCUUCAGGUUAUUCUUAUGUGCAUCAUGUCGAGACUUAGCGGGGCCCAUUUGGUCCUUCAUAGGAAACUCACGUCUAAAGUAUCCCAACAUGCUAAAUGUUGUAUCUUUGAGGGUAAAGUGGUCAUUUGACGGACUGAUUUGAGAAAAAUAUGUGUUAGAAGUAAAGUGUGUAGGCAACGAAAAAAAAAAGAAAAAGGAAAAGAGAGAAAAAAAGAGAGUGUCGUAGUUUAUUUUAGAGUUCUUUAUGGCUUUUUUUCUUCAUAAUCCAAAAACUCAGAAGAUUUUUUUACCUUUUGCAUUUAUUUUCUCAAAGUACCAUAAAUUCAAAACAAAAAAAAGAGGAUUUUGUUUACCUUUUCUACUUAUUUUUCAAAAAAAAAAAACACAAAAAGAUUUUCCUUUUGUUUUUUAGUAAGCAUUCAUAAUUCAAAAAUUUCAACAAAAAAAAUUAUAUAUUAGUAGGUUUUUAUAAGAGAAAAUGCAAAAAAAGAGAUGGUAGAAAUUUGUACAUUUCCUAUAAUGAAAAUUCCAAAAAUAUUUUUUCUUCAUAAUUGUUGGUGUCAGUCUUAGUUGAAGUGUCUGAUUAAAAACCCAAAAAGAUUUUAUUCGUUUUUCUUUGGUUGUGUCUUUUAAGUUAGGGUCAAUCUGUUAGUUAAUCGUUAAUUGUCCAAUCUGGCGAACUACGCGUACCAGAUUCCUGUCCCUUGGGGCGGGAUACAUAGGCAACCCUCGGUGGGUUCAGUAAUCUUUAUUUUUGGCCUUUGUCUUAGUCUUAUCCUGGGUCUUCCUCGUAAUCUAGUGUUGUCAAUUGAUUCUUUCCAAGUAGGCUGAUUUCCUUCAGCGGUACUGUUCGGUGGAUUUGAGUUAUAUGUCGGUCUGUCCCUCCAUGUCACACGACAUUUUUCUAAGAUAAAAUCCCGAGGGUCGGGUGUUCCUUGUCUUGUUUUAAAUUUUGAGUUGUAAGUUUGGCUUUUUAUUAUAGGAUGAAGCCUAGAGGGUCUAGAGUCUUGAUGGUUUCCAAAGUGCCCAAAAAGUUAAUCAAGUGGUGGGGCACGUUCAACUACGCUAACCAGCAAGAGCUAAUUAAUAUUAGGUAAUCUUACAAAACUUCUACAUGUCCCACCCCGUCCAGAUCUAAUAGAUGCUGUGUUGACCUUUUGAGAUCCUAGUAAUUUUGUGUUUAGGUUCGGAAAGUAUGAAAUGACGCCUACUUUGGCAGAAUUAUCUAGUCUGCUUCAUUUGCCUUAUAUUGACAAAAGUAUGAUCCGAGCUCAAAAUCACUCGGGCAAUAGGUUUCUACAAAGGUGUGGUUUAAAGAGUAAUAACGGACAUUUGGGUUGUCUGAAUCAAUCAUGGAUUUCCUUAGACUUUCUAUUUGCUAGAUUUGGAUCCUUGGAAGGUUUUGACCACUUUUGGGAUGAAUUUUAUAUGAUUAAGCAGAAGUGGGAAAAAAAGCAUCUUAAAGUCUUCACCUUCGCUCUGUUAGGCACUCUAGUGUUUCUGCUAGAAGAAAGGAGUAUUAAUACACGUUUGCAAUCUGUGGUGAUGGCUCUAUUUCGUAAGGAUCAAAAGGACAAGGUCUCUAAUCAAAAGGGUAAAGUCACUAAUCAAAAGGACAAGUUCACUAUCAUACCCAUGAUCUUAACAGAGAUAUACAAGGAUUUAACUGAAGUGAAGGGGGGAUGAGAUUUUUUUAGGGCAGUAACCUGAUAUUGCAGUUGUGGAUGAUGGAGCAUUUGCAUGCGGCUUCUUUAGUUAGACCAGUCGUGGUUGAUCAUUGUAUUCCCAAUUGAGUGAAAGCCAUGGACCUCAGGUUGCGUUUUGAUAAAUUCUCGCUACCCAUGGGAGUCGACGCUUGGAUUGAAUUUCUUGAGUCAAGAAUCGAGGAUAAUAUUUUGUGGUCUUAUCUGUGGCUUUGGUUGUCAGAUGCAGCUCUUUUUAGUUAUGUUAGGGCUCAAUUGCACUAGACCAUACAGUCCUUCUAGGGUAAUGCGCCAGUUGGGUAGGCCGCAGGACGUGCCACCAGUAGUGGAUCUUCUAAAGGAUGUUGAGUACUUCAAGGACCAAGCCUUAGGUGAGAGCAAAUAUGAGCAACUCUGGAAGCAUGCAACAAAGCUAGGUGUGUACACUCUCAAAGAAAGUUUAGAUAAUUUGGGGUACACUCAGGGAUAUGGGGUUUGGAUUCAAUCUAUCCCUCGAGGUAUCAUCCAACCAUUACUAGUGCAACUUAGAGGGAGAAUACAGGAAGAAUGCAUAAUUGACAACCAUCAGGAUGAAGGUGCGGGGUCCAAAGUAGAGACACUAAGAGUUCAGUUAUUAGGUUUGCUCAAAACUAUGGAGGGGUGUCAGAACAAUCUUUUCAAGUGUACUCCUCAUGAGGUAGGAAUACGUGCCAGAGGCAUCUUCCCAAAUAUUGAAAGGUCCUUACAAGAUAUGCUACAUAGUUUGAAUGGGAGAAAGAGAACUUCACAGGCAGGUCCAUCUCAGCCAGGGUCAUCACGCAGAGCACCAGUCUGAAGGAGCAUUUCCUAUCUUUUGUUUAGUUUGAUUCCUUUACUUUUCUGCCAUUUGUAGUAUUGUAACUUUGUUAAGUCGGUGUCAAGUUUGCUUUAACUUUGGAGUCUUUAUUAGGAGCAGUACGUAUGUUGUCCUUUAGGUCUAGAGUGUUGUUUAGCUUUCGUUGUUUAGUUUUAAAGUUGUCUUAAAUUUGAAGUUUAUUUUAGUUGUCUCUUUUAUGAAAUGUUGUGAUGUUGCGUUGUUCUUUCUUUUGUUUAUUUUAAAAAAAAAUCUUCAACUUUGUGAUUUUUAUGCAUGCGUCGCCCGAACUACGCAAGAUCUGAUUCAUGUAUAAUAUGAUACGUAGGCAACCUAAUUUUGGUUUUGAUCUAAUCAUUUUAUUUCAUUAUUUUUCACUAUUAUUCCUCUUUUAAAGAAAAGCAAAAGCCAUAAAGAGUGACAAAAUGAAGGUAGAUAAUGAGAGAAGAAAAGAAAGAAAGGAUGAUGAGAUAAGAAAGGGAAAAAACAGAGGUGUGGUUGGAGGAAAGAAGCAAUCAAGUGUAGGAGAAAGAUCGGGAUGAUGUUAAAAUGACCUCGCUACCCUCAAAGGCUGGUAGAAAUGAACAUGAAUCUAGGACAAUUUUACCAAUGUGAUUCCCAUGAUUAAUGUGUGGCCUAAUUCUAACGGGUGUUGUCUUUGAUGAGCAUGUUCUUUCAAAUAACAGUGGUUGAUUUGCAACACUUUGGAUAGUCUCCCGUACUUCACUAGAUCAAAAGUAAAGCUUGCCAUAGCUAUUAGGGAGAUUAAAAAUUCACUCAUUGACCCAAAUCAGGAUCUCAGGGAGGAAAGUUCGAAAUGCAAUGAUAAGGCUCUAAGACUUGCGCAAUAAUUAAUAGAUCUGCAUCAAGCAUGGGCUAGUGGCAUGCCUCCUCCUCCGCUCCCUGAAGGUCUUGGGAAUAUUUCUAACUACCCACCGCUUUCUCAGGCUUAAUUAUCUUCCCCUAUUGAGUCACCAGAGCACGCAUCAGGAUUCACUCCGUGUCAAUAUUAUCCUGGUAGCUCUAGUGUGCCCCUGGUAGCUCCCAAAUCAAGUACCGUUGUUCAGCCAGUGCCACCGAUCACAUCGGUGUUCGUGGCUCCGCCACCAUCUGAAGAUCCCACAUAUGUUGUACGUCAAACAAUGGUGCUUCCUCGGUCUACCAGCAAGCCAGUAUUGAAGGUUUUGGAUAAUCAGUAUUAUGCCCCGGAGCCUACUUUGAGGAUUAAUGAACCGUAUAGGUAUACUCAGCCACCUGCAUUUCCGUUUGAUAAGAAGAAGCCUGACGCAACAGAAGAAUAGGAAUUCAUAGCGUGGAAAUUGAAAAGUUUGGAAUAGGCCAAGAGAAAUUUGCUGGGAAUCGGAGGUUAUAAGAGUGUUUCCUAUAAAGAUCUUUAUAUGUUCCUAAACGUCAACCUUCCCCUCGGUUUUAAAAUGCCCAAGUUCGAGAAGUAUGCUGGGCACGGUGAUCCCGUGGCACACUUGAGACGUUAUUGCAACCAAUUAAGGGCUGCAGGGGGAAGGAAAGAGUUACUCAUGGCUUUCUUUGGCUAGAGUCUUUCCGAUCUGACUUUAGAAUGGUUUCUCGAUCAAGAUAUCGACAAAUGGAACAACUGGGAUGACUUAGCUUCUGAGUUUGUGCAACAUUUUUAGUAUAACGUCGACCUGAUUUCGGACGAAAAAUCCUUGGUCAACAUGAAGAAGAAAAGCACUGAAGGUUUUAGAGAAUAUGCGAUAAGGUGGCGUGAAUAGGCCGCCAGGGUAAAGCCUCCAAUGAAGGAGAGCAAGCUGGUAGAGGUCUUCAUUCAGGCAUAGGAUAAGACCUAUUUUCAACAUUUACUUCCGACAAUGGGAAAGUCUUUUAUUGAAGUCAUCAAAAUAGGAGAGAUGAUAGAGGACGGAAUUAAAACCGGACGAAUAGUGAGUUUUACCGCAUUGAAAGCCACCACACAAGCAAUUCAAGAUGGAUUUGGUGCGUUCGGAGGUAAAAAGAAGAAAGAAGAUGUGGUGACCAUUGUAGCUGGAACCCAUUCCUAUCCCAAAAGAUCGCCUUGCCCCUAUCCCCAAUCUCAAGCCCAAGUCCAUUCCCAAGCUCUAUAUAUUCCUCCCCACCAUUACUACCCUCCACAAAACCCAUUAUAUUCUAUUCCACCACCCCCAUACCCAGUAUAUAGUGCACAACCAUAUGCCUAAACCUCUUCUUACUCACAAUGGUGCGUGCAAGCUCUACAAAAUCGCCCAUCAGCUCCACCAAAUUACCAAAACCCCUCCAGACCCAGUUUUUAACCCAGGCCCGAGUAAAAGAAAGAGAAGGAGGUCAAAAAUCAGUUCACACCUCUUAGGGAGUCAUAUGCUAGAUUGUUUGAUAGGUUGAGAAAGAUGAAGGUCUUAAGCCAAAUUCAAGGAAUGCUUACAAAUCCACCUCCAAGGAAUCUCGAUUAUUCUUUAAGGAGUGCGUACUAUUCUGACAUGCCAGGCCAUGAUAUCAAGAAAUACUGGCAUUUAAAGAGAGCUGUCCAAGAUUUAAUUGACACAAAUCAGAUGUUGGUCCAGGCCCCGGAGGUUCCAAACAUUAACCAGAUCCGCUGCCAACCCAUGCUGAAACCAAUAUGUUAGAAUUGAUAUAUGAUGGGAAAGAGUCGUCAAGGUGUUAUAAGCCUAUUGUCAAGAUACAGACCAAUGAAGAGAAAUCGGUGAAUGUAGCAGAGUCUUUAAAAGCAAUGUUAUUGAGCCAGGAAGGAAUGAGAGAAGAUAAAGCCCAAGAAAGCACAAGAAAACCCUUGAUCACAAUGCAAGGUGCCAGAAGGUAUGUUGAUUUAAGUCAGGAUAAACCUAAGUUGACGGUGUUAGGAGCUCUGGGUAAGCCCAUAUUGACGGUGAAAGAAGCACUGGCAGUACCUAUUGUCCUCAAACCGAUGACCCAACCUCCGAUAGUUGAUACAAAAAGAGUUCCCUGGAACUAUGGGCGGACUCUGAUGACCUAUCAGGGGAAAGAAGUAGUGGAAGAUGUAGAUGAGGUACGAGGUUUGACUCAGUCAGAAAAAUGCUCCGUGCCUGAAAGUUUAAGGAAGUCCAAGCCAAUUGUGAGUGGACCUUAUCUAUCAAAAAGCCUGUCACCAAAGAAGAAGCCGGAGAAUUUUUGAAAAAUAGGAGUUUGCCAGAGUAUUCAAUAAUAGAUCAUUUGAAGAAAACCCCUGCUCAAAUUUCCCUCUUAUAUUUGUUGUUGCAUUCCAAGGAACAUCGUGAUAUUAUACCGAAGGUAUUAAACGAAGCAUUUAUUCCUAGGGAGAUUACAGUAAAUCAGCUUGAGAAAAUGGUUGGAAAAAUCUUUGAGGUCAAUCGGAUCAGCUUUUCUGACGAUAAAUUGCCUGUUGAAGGUACGGGGCAUAACCGGGGUAUUUACAUUACAGUGAAGUGCGAAGAUUUCUACGUCACUCAUGUCAUGAUUGACGGAGGUUCAGGUGCAAAUAUCUGCCCUAUUUCUACUUUGCAAAAGUUGAAUAUUGGUGCUGAGAGAAUCAGGCCCAACAAUGUAUGUGUCAGGGCUUUUGAUGGUGCAAAAUCAAAUUCCAUUGGCGAAAUAGAACUUUAUAGGGCCUGUCGAAUUUGCCAUAGAAUUUUAAGUAUUAAAUAUCGAAUCCUCUUACAAUCUUUUGUUAGAAAGACCAUGGAUCCACAAGGACAAGGUAGUUGCAUCUACACUACACCAGAUAAUUAAGUUUGAGCAUGACAGGAAAGAAGAGAUUAUUCACGGUGAAGGAGAUUUUUCCACCUACGAAGAUUCUCCCUUGUCUCUUAUUGAAGCAAAUAAUGUAGAGGAGACAUUUGUCUAUCAAAUUUUUGAUACAGUGCCAGUGGAUCGUAUCCUUGAAGGUCAGGUUAUAUUGGGACCAUAAUUGUCUUCCUCUUCUAUCAUGAUGGUGAGUGAACUUUUGAAAUACGGAUUUAAGCCAGGAAGGAGUUUGGGAGCAGAGCGUCUCUGCACGGUAUAGUUCAUCCCAUAUACCCGAGUGAGAACAUAGACACUUUCGGUCUGGGAUUUAAGCCUACGGCUGAAGAUCUGAAGAAAGCGAAGGGAAGGAAAAAAGAAACAUGGUCACUCCCUCGCUCGAUGCCACUACUCAGUGAAUCAUUUGUUAAGAGCGGUGUCACGAAGCAUGUAGAAUUUGAAGCUGAAUUGGUUGAUAACUUCCAAAACCUUUUUAUUGAAGUAGAUAUGGUUGAAGCAGGAGAGGGUACCAGUAAGGCAGGUGUGCAGUUCAUAGGCCCAGCUGUCCAUCUCAACAAUUGGAAAGUUACUUCUCUCCCCGUUAGGAGGGAGUUUUUGUAGUUCAUUUUAUUUUUCUUUCUAUUUAUUCGAGUUAUUCCAGGGUUGUAAUUCAGAAUUUAGCUUAUUUAUAUUUUGUUGUUUGUGUUUAAACCCUCCUAUCUUUCCCUUUUAAAUGAAAUGCAAUGUCUUUUUCUUUAUACAGUUCUCUUUAUGCAGAUUCUAAUGACAUGCAUGCAGAAUUUUCAGCCUAAUCUUAAAAUCCAAACUAAUCAAGAUAUAAUGAAGCAAGAGGAGGAAUAUGAUGAAGAAGAGGCACUAGAAGAAAUAAGCAAAGAGUUGGAAUAGUUUAAAGACAAGUCAAAUCUUAAUUUGAAUGAAACUGAGCCAAUUAAUCUAGGGAAUCAAGAAGAUGUUAGGGAAACUAAAAUCAGUAGACAUGCUUUGCCACAGUUAAAAGAUGGAAUAAUUCAAGAAUUAAUUGAUUAUAAGGAUGUUUUUGCAUGGUCUUAUGAUGAUAUGCCUGGUUUAAGUAAUGAAUUAGUGGCCCACAAAUUGCCAACUGAUCCCGCAAUCCCUCCUAUCAAACAGAAGAUGAGGAAGUUUAAAACUGAUGUAAGUAUUAAAAUCAAAGAGGAAAUCAUGAAACAACUGGAAGCCAAAGUAAUUCGAGUGGCUCGUUAUCCCACGUAGUUAUCCAAUGUUGUUCCUGUCCCAAAGAAAGAUGAAAAAAUUCGAGUAUGUGUUGAUUACCAUGAUUUGAACAGAGCAAGUCUGAAAGAUGAUUUUCUGCAACCCAACAUCCAUAUUUUGCUGGACAACUAUGCUAAACAUGAGGUUGCUUUUUUUGUCGAUUGCUAUGUCGGAUACCACCAAAUCAUUAUGGAUGAUGAAGACGCGGAGAAGACGUCUUUUAUCACACCAUGGGGGACUCAUUGUAAUCGAGUGAUGCCGUUCGGUUUGAAGAAUACUGGAGCAAUAUACUUGAGAGCCAUGACCACUAUGUUUCAUGAUAUGAUGCAUAAGGAGAUUGAGGUCUAUGUAGAUAAUGUGAUCAUUAAGUCAAAAAGUCAGGCUGACCAUGUUAAAGAUUUAAUAAAGUUCUUUGAAAGGCUUCGUAGGUAUAAUCUCAAGCUCAACCCGACAAAAUAUGUAUUUAGAGUUUCGUCUGGAAAGCUGUUAGGGUUUGUAGUCAGUCGUCGGGGAAUUGAAUUGGAUCCCUCAAAAAUUAAAGCCAUUCAGGAUUUGCCCCCACCCAAGAAUAGAACGGAGGUGAUGAGUUUGCUUGGUAGACUGAACUACAUCAGCAGGUUUAUUUCUCAACUCACAACCACUUGUGAUCCCAUAUUCAAGUUGCUGAAAAGAGUGUUGUGGUAGAAUGGACUGAAGAAUGUCAGGAAGCAUUCGACAGAAUCAAAAGAUAUUUGUCAAAUCUGUCUGUGCUGGUACCACCGAAGCCUGGUAGGCCUUUAAUCUUAUAUUUAUCAGUCAUAGACAAUUCUUUCAAUUGUAUCCUGGGUCAACAUAAUUUCACUGGCAAAAAGGAGCAGGCUAUUUAUUAUCUUAGCAAGAAGUUCACCACGUAUGAGGCUGGGUAUACUCUUCUUGAAAGGACGUGUUGUGCCCUAACUUGGGUAGCAUAGAAGUUGAAGUAUUAUCUUUCAUCCUACACUACUUAUCUUAUCUCUCGCAUGGAUCCUUUAAAGUAUAUCUUUCAGAAGCCUAUGCCGACAGGUCGAUUGGCAAAGUGACAGAUAUUGCUUACUAAGUUUGACAUUAGGUAUGUGACUCGAACUGUCAUGAAAGCUCAAUCCUUAGCAGACCAUCUUGCUGAGAAUCCCAUUGAUGAAGAGUAUGAACCAUUAAAGACAAAUUUUCCUAAUGAAGAGGUAUUCUAUGUCGAGAAAGUCAUUAUAGAUGCUGAUCCAGGUUAGAAGCUAUUCUUUGAUGGAGCUGUUAACAUGAAAGGAGUCAGAAUAGGUGCGGUUCUUAUCUCUGAAUUGGGGCAGCAUUUCUUGGUAACAGUGCAUAUUUGAUUUUAUUGUACCAAAAACAUGGCGGAAUACGAAGCAUGCAUUCUUGGUUUGAAGUUAGCUGUUGAUAUGGGAGUCUAGGAACUAUUAGUGUUGGGGGAUUCAGAUUUGCUCGUCCAUCAAAUUUAAGGCGAUUGGAAGACGCAAGAUUUGAAGCUCAUACCAUAUCAACAAUGCUUGCAAGAGCUAUAUCAACGGUUUAUAUCAGUAAAAUUUAGGCAUAUUCCAAGGAUUCAUAAUGAGAUUGCUGAUCUUUAGCCACUCUAUCUUCAAUGCUCCAACAUCCUGAUAAAGCCUACAUCGAUCCAGUGCAUAUACAGAGUCAUGAUCAACAUGCUUACUGUAAUGCAUUUGAAGAAAAGCUUGAUGGCGAGCCUUGGUUCGUUGAUAUCAAGCGAUACACUCAGUCAGAAGAAUACCCAAUAUAUGCCACCAGUGAUCAAAAGAGGACUAUCAGACGUCUGGCCAGCAGAUUUUUCUUAAGUAAGGGAAUCUUAUAUAAGAGAACCCCAGAUCUAGGACUUUUGAGGUGUGUAGAUACGAAAGAAGCCUAAAAAAUCAUGGUUGAAAUACACUCUGGAGUAUGCAAACUGCAUAUGAAUGGUUAUGUCUUAUCAAAGAAGAUUCUUCGAGCAAGCUAUUACUGGCUUACUAUGGAGAGGGAUUCUAUUUGAUUUGUUUGAAAAUGUCAUCAAUGUCAAGUACAUGGUGAUCUGAUACAUUAUCCUCCUGUUGAGUUGUAUGCAAUGUCUGUUCCAUGGCUUUUCGUAGCUUGGGGGAUGGACGUGAUCGGGCCGAUUGAGCCAAAAGCGUCAAAUGGGCAUAGAUUUAUUUUGGUGGCCAUUGAUUACUUUACAAAGUGGGUAGAAGCAGUAACUUUCAAUUCAGUAAUAAAGAAAUCGGUGGUAGAUUUUGUUCAUGCCAACAUCAUUUGUAGGUUUGGAAUUCUAAAGAUGAUCAUUACAAACAAUGAUGCCAAUCUCAAUAGUCAUUUGAUGCAAGAACUGUGUCAAUAAUUUAAGAUCGCACACUGAAAUUCCACUUUAUAUCGUUCAAAGGCUAAUGGCAUAGUGGAAGCCGCCAAUAUGAAUAUCAAGAAGAUACUGCAGAAAAUGGUACAAGGGUCUAGACAAUGGCAUGAGAAGUUGGUGUUUGCUAGGUUAUCGUACUACUAUUAGCACUUCAACAGGGGAAACUCCAUAUUUAUUGGUGUAUGGGAUAGAAGCAUUCAUUCCUGCAGAAGUUAAAAUUCCCUCUCUUUGAGUCAUUGUGGAAGCAGAGAUUGAUGAUGACGAGUGGGUCAAAACUCGAUUGGAACAAUUGAGUUUGAUUGAGGAAAAAAAGCUAACGUCAGUAUGUCAUGGCCAAUUAUAUCAGAAGAAAAUGGCUCGAGCGUAUAACAAAAAGGUACGACCCAGGCAUUUUGAAGUUGGUCAGUUGGUAUUGAAGUGUAUCCUUCCUCACUAGGUUGAAGCGAAAGGCAAGUUCUCCCCAAACUGGCAAGGUCCCUUCAUUGUGAAGAAAGUGUUUCCUAAUGGAGCCUUAUAUUUGACGGAUAUUGAAGGCAAAAUGGCAGAAAUAGCUAUCAAUGCUGAUGCGAUCAAAAGAUAUUAUGUAUGACACUUUAUCCUUUGUUGAUUUUAUUGCAUGUUUAGUACUUGCAUUUUUUAAGAUUGAUAUGAUGAAGACAUUUUAUUCUUCUAUCCAAACAUUGUGUCAUUCUUUGUUCACCCGUUUGAGCUUAGUUUUAUUUUUCUUUCAUAUUCCUCUUUUGGAAUCAAAAUAUGAGUCAAAGAAAAAUGUCAGGAAAAUAAGAAUAGAAGAAAGAGUUCGAAAAUAAAAAAAGAGAGAAAAAAAAUCAAAUAAAAAAUAAAGAACAAAUUGAUGGAACUAUGUGCAACCUAAUUCUCCUCUCUCGAGGGUGAGAUACAUAGGCUGCCCUAUUCGGGCUCGGUCCAACCAAAUAAAUAUUUUAGAGUUACCAAGUCAACAAAACUGGGGCAUGAGUUAAGAUGUUGUUUGAGUCGAUUUCAAAAGUUGUAAGUCCCACCCCCACUUUAGGUGUCGUUUAAGCCUCUUGUCAUCUUUUUAUAACCUUAUCCAAAAGUCAAGUUACAACCAAAGAAAGUCCUUCAGAUCAAUUUUUGAUAAUGUUAAGGCUAAGUGUGCAAUGGAUAUGAUGAUACAUUGUGGGGUACUACUUGUUUUCCUCAACAUAAGAAAUUAGGAAAGAAAUACAAAAUAAGAGAGUCUUAUUGGUGAAAACUCUCGCGGGCACCAUAAGGCGAUGGUGAGUGAAAAGAAAUAAAAAUGAGAGAGUCUUACUAGUGAAAACCCUCACGGGCACCGUAAGGCGAUGACGAAUUCGAGAGAAAAGUGAAAGUUAAAUGGAAAAAGAUUUGUUAGCUAAAGUCUUUCAAGUUGUCUUCAAUUGAAUGAGAUAUAUGAGUCCAAUGGAUUUGAAGAAGUGGUUCAGCGGCAAAGGCAAGAACUCAACAACAAAUGGGAAGUUUGGAUAGGAAGAUCAGGCAACCUAAUCCAAAAUGCAUGUCAUACACAUUGGAGUUGGGUGCCGUAUUCAGAUAAGUUUUCUUUUUGAAUAAGGGACAUUACCCUUUUCUUUCAUUUACCUAUUCAUAUUUUGUCUUUUUCAUUUAUCAAAAUAAAAGUCACCAUCAUUUCUUUAUAUUUUAAGUCAAGUCUGUGUUAAAACAAGCGAGAAAGGAUUUCAAAACUUGCUACCAGUCUUUCCAAUUGUAUGAGGAAAAGACAAGGACUAGCACAUGAAAGAAAUAUGAUCGUAAUUCAACACAAAGCAAAGGAAGUCUAUCAACCGAUAGUCAGCUGGUUUCCUGGGAGUAUUCAGAUUUGGAAAAGGGUGCAUCUUAGAGGCCUGGUAAGAUAAAAACUCAUUGUUCGAGUCAGAACUUAUUUCCCUCAAUCUAAAUCUGGGUCAAUGAAGCGACAAGACAGGGGCAAAAGUUAAUAAUCUGAAACAAAGAUUAAAGGAACAAGUGUUGCAGCAGAUGUCUGGAAAUCCAAAGUACUGCAAACCACUACUGAGUUUUUAACUGACAAAUUUUCUUUAUUGAAACAGGGGCGAAUUCACUUCACUUAAUUCAGUUACCAUUGGAAAAACGCAUCCAUGAGACUUUACUUUCUGAUCAGGACCCUCUUAGAAAAUGGAAUUUUACUUUCAGAUCAGGACCCUCCUGAAAAAUGAAAUUUUACUUUCUGUUCAGGACCCUCCUGAAAAAUGAGAUUUUACUUUCUGUUCAGGACCCUCCUGAAAAUGGGAUUUUACUUUAUGUUCAGGAUCCUCCUAAAAAAUGAGAUUUCACUUUCUGUUCAGGACCCUCCUGAAAAUGGGAUUUCACAUUAUGUUCAAAACCCUCCUAAAAAAUGAGAUUUUACUUUCUGUUCAGGACCCUCCUGAAAAAUGGGAUUUCACUUUAUGUUUAGGACCCUCCUAAAAAAUGGGAGUUUACUUUAUGUUCAAGAACCUCUUGAAAAAUGAGAUUUUACUUUCUGUUCAGGACCCUCCUGAAAAAUGAGAUUUUACUUUCUGUUUAGGACCAUCCUGAAAAAUGGGACUUUAUUUUUUGUUCAGCACCCUCCUGAAAAAUGGGAUUUUACUUUCUGUUCAGGACCCUCUUGAAAAUGGGAUUUUACUUUCUGUUCAGGACCCUCCUGAAAAAUGGGAUUUUACUUUAUGCUCAGGACCCUCCUGAAAAAUGGUAUUUCACUUUAUGUUCAGGACCCUCAUGAAAAAUGAGAUUUUACUUUAUGUUCAGGACCCUCAUGAAAAAUGAGAUUUUACUUUAUGUUCAGGACCCUCCUGAAAAAUGGGAAUCUACUUUAUGUUCAAGACCCUCCUGAAAAACAAGAAUUUACUUUAUGUUCAGGACCCUUCAGGAAAAUGGGACAGUACUUUCAGAAAAAUGAAAUCUCUCUUUAUCUUAAUCUUUGUUGGGGAUAAUUUUCUUUUUCGUUUCUAGUUUUGAUUUCAGGAGCCCACUUGAAGAACAGGGUGAUAAAAUUGAAAGUCAGGAUUCCGCCUGAAGAACAGGGUGAAGAAGUUGAAAUUCAAGCAACAGGGUGAAUAAAUUGCAAGUCAAGAGCCCGCCUGGAGAAUAAGGUGAUGAAGUAGCGAGUCAAGAGUCAAGGAAAGCUGCAUAGAUAGGAUUUUUGUAAUUUCAUUUAUGUUUUAACUUGUAAUUUUCAUUUUGAUGUAAUGACAGAGCCGCGGAUCGAAACCUCGAUGGAAACUAACUCGACUUUCCAACUCGGUAUAUUCCAUCUCCUUCCAUCCUUUGAAAUACCUGUCACUUGAAUCCUUCAUAACUUGGGUAGGUAGGAUGUCGUAAGUCAAAACCCGGUUGCUUUUCUUCCUUCGGUUUCUUUCUUCGAAUAAUGAUCAGGAUAAAAUUCUGUCUUGUUGUCUACUUCUUUGUAUGAAAACACUAAGUGUUUAUAUUCAAAGGGGGCAUGAUGUAGACACGUAAUUUUAUCCCGUCAAAAUAUUUCUUAUUCCGUUAUCACACAAUUUAACCCCCAUUUGUAUAAUUUUCCAUAAGAAAAAUAAAUAAAAUAACCACUUCAUUUUAUUUAUUUAUCUUUUUUCUUUAUCCAAAUAACAAAUCUAACAAAUUUUGUCUUCUUUUAAAACCUUCCAACAACCCCUUCAAUUAAAAAACAACACCUCACCUAUCCCCUACCCCUACCCUCACCCCUACCCCUACGUGACCCCUCCCCUUUUAUCUUAAUUUUUUUUGUCCACAAAGAAAAGGCCCACAGGAACUUUCAAGAAAAGGGACCAUUUUUGUUUUCAUUGGAAGGACACACAUAGACAUGAUCAUAAGGGAGAGAAUAUAGAGAUGGGCCCCACUACUAACAGAAAGGGAUUUGGACCAAUGAAAAUAGAUAUACGCACUAAAUUAGAAAAGGGGGGCACGAGGAACCUUCCAGAAAGCUCACUAUACCCAUACCCCAUCUCUACCCACAGGACCUCUUCCAUCACAUUUUUUUCCACUUCUGGGUAUAAUAUAUACACACGCGGAUACACAGAUUGGGGGCGGGGGGGGGGUUCUUUCCUUUUAGCUUCUUCAUCAUCAUCUUCAUAGAAGAAAAGGAGAGCAGCCAUUGACACUCACUCUCUCUAAGUUUCUCACCCAAAAUUGCACACCCACACAAAAAAUCGCACACACCUUCCUCGAAACCAUGAUCCACGCCCUCAAAUCUCACCAAAAACUAAAGGUUUCGUGAGUGGGUCACCUUUUUUGGCGACAUACUCGUCGGAGUCGUGUCGAAGUCAUCAGCAGCACGUUCAAACUUGGCAGAAUUCGUGCCGAAUUUCUCGAUCUCACUUUUUUUUUGCUCAAUUUCUACUAUUUUUUUAGGUUCUAUUGCAUAUUGGGGUGUUGGGGUUCUUCUGUUUUGUGUUUUCAUUGUCGAAAUCAGGUCGGGGUUCGUUUGUUUUAGGUUGCUUUGGUCACCGUUAGCUCACCGGAGCUCGGUCUGCAUCAGGUUUCUAUUUUCCUUUUGGUUUGUUAGGAUUUCGGAAAUUUAUUUCUGCGUUAGGAGUUUAUAUUCACUGGUCUCGAAGCUGCUUGGCUAUUAUUCUAAUAUCGUGUUCGGAGCUUAUUCAUCAUUGAGGUGCUAUCGAGGAUUCCAAACUCAGUUUUCUUAACUCGUAUUAUCAACGAAAUUCAAUAUCGGAAGGUCCAUUUCUUAACCCACUCUCUUUUUAUUUAUCUUGGUGUGUUGAAUUGGUUGUAAUUAUAUGUGAUGUUAUUAUGUUUGUUGGCUUUAUUGUUGAUGUUGAUCAUGAUGUUUGCUGAUUCGGCUAUGGUGGUUUGAGGAAAGAAUUUGACCAUGUGUUGAUUGUUGAUUGAUAGAAACGAAGCUAGCGGGGGUGGAAUUGAGAAUUUGAUAAAAGGGGUUGAAUUAGAUUAACGUGGGUUUAUUAUUAUUUUUGUUUAAUCCGGAAUAAGCAUAAACAUUGUGUGAACGUGAAAGAGUUAUGACAUAUGGAAACGGAUAGGCAAUGUAAGUUCGAGUAGGCAAAAUUUAGGAUUUAGUUUUUUGUUGAAUGUUUGAAUAUGGAAUGUUUAUUGAAUAUUUUCCAAGAUUGUCGUACUUGAUUCAAUUGUAUCAUUUGGCCGGGGAAUGCCCUGAAGUAUUUGUAUUAUUUUCUCUGGGGAAUGCCCCAAAGUAUUUUGUACUCGGUGGACGUCCGUGAUGAAGGCCCGAGGCAUCGGGUAGCAUGGGAGCGUAGUUAGGAUUAGAGUAAGUUAGAAUAGGAUUUAUACUUUCGUAUUUCUUUUUACUUUGGUCUGUAUAAUUGGACUAAACAUUAUUUUGGGGAUUUGUUUGGGUGUGUUUGUUUGAUUGAUUGCCUUAUGUGUUUCGUGUGGUUUAUACACUCGUUGAUGUCAAGUUAACCGAUACUCCCUACCAAGCAACCGUGGUCAAACCAUGGGAUCGAGGGUUGCCUAACACCUUCCCCUCGGUCAACAGAACUCCUUAGCCAGAAUCUCUUUUCGCAAACCAGUUUCAAGAGUCAAAAUGUUUUGAAAAGGAUUUUCCAAAGGUGACUUGGCACACCAGAUUAUGUCAAGUGGUGACUCUGAAUAAAAAAUGUAAAUAGUCCCUUUUAAAACAGAUUUUCAUCCUUUUGUCACUUUAAUAAUAAAAAUCCUUUCGAACUUAAAACGAAUCUUUUGGAGUACGAAAAAAGGAUGUGACACUAUUAGUUGUAGCAUUACCCUUGUAGUUGAUUGGCAUUUCUUGAGUGUAUAUUUUUUAUAAUCAUGGUGUUCAGAUCAGUUGGCUUGGGCUUCUCCGUUAAUUUCAUGAGAUAUGUGCUACUUUCUGGCUCCAACAUAGUGGCAAAAUCGAGGAUUUCUAGAAUUGGUGCACCAGUAAGAAAAGAAGUAAAAAAUGCAUUUAGUAGGAAUUAAUCUCAAGUCCUCUAGGUAAAUAACUCAAUCUUCAACCAAGUGCACCGUUUAGUCUUCACCAUUUGGCAAGGCUACGAGGACUUGGGUCUCUCUCUAUUGGGCAGGGCAUCAAGUACAGGUAUCUUUACCGAUUAACCAAAUUCUAAUAGCUGGAGUAGAUCCUAAAGAGAUACCAUUUCCUCGAGAGUUUAUCUUGAAUUGAGAUCUUUUGGUUCAACUUUAUCCCAAUUUUGUCGAGGGAGCAACCCCAUUUUUUACCUUAAAUUGGUCAAAAUAUGCGGACUUUCUUAUGCACCACUUAGUCCUCUGGUAACGUGGGUUAGAUCAAUUAAUAUUAGAAAAUAUGUAAGUUUUCUUAGAGACCCUUUCUUUCAUUUUACUGGAAGGAUUGAAACUUCUUUACUUUUUGUAAGAGUUAAUGGCCAAAAAGACACCUGGAGUAUUGCGUCUUUGCGAGCUUCCUACUUUAAUUAUUAUUAAUUAUUUAUCAAAAACACACAUCAUUC
RNAcentral lists this long non-coding RNA (18247 nucleotides) under Capsicum annuum. Its description in RNAcentral is "long non-coding RNA (CANN_LNC005639)". Lineage: Eukaryota; Viridiplantae; Streptophyta; Magnoliopsida; Solanales; Solanaceae. The record is from RNAcentral.